This 472-nucleotide ribosomal RNA is filed under the name Moraxella sp. canine oral taxon 017. RNAcentral's name for it is "bacterial SSU rRNA". It matches the Rfam family "Bacterial small subunit ribosomal RNA", at positions 10 to 479 of the family's 1533-position model. The record is from RNAcentral. Lineage: Bacteria; Pseudomonadati; Pseudomonadota; Gammaproteobacteria; Moraxellales; Moraxellaceae.
AGUUUGAUCAUGGCUCAGAUUGAACGCUGGCGGCAGGCUUAACACAUGCAAGUCGAACGAUGAUUACUAGCUUGCUAGUAUGAUUAGUGGCGAACGGGUGAGUAAUGCUUAGGAAUCUGCCUAUUAGUGGGGGACAACAUUCCGAAAGGAAUGCUAAUACCGCAUACGUCCUACGGGAGAAAGCAGGGGAUCUUUUGACCUUGCGCUAAUAGAUGAGCCUAAGUCGGAUUAGCUAGUUGGUGGGGUAAAGGCCUACCAAGGCGACGAUCUGUAGCUGGUCUGAGAGGAUGAUCAGCCACACUGGGACUGAGACACGGCCCAGACUCCUACGGGAGGCAGCAGUGGGGAAUAUUGGACAAUGGGCGAAAGCCUGAUCCAGCCAUGCCGCGUGUGUGAAGAAGGCCUUUUGGUNGUAAAGCACUUUAAGUGGGGAGGAAAAGCUAAUAAUUAAUACCUAUAGCCCUGACGUACC